Molecule: ribosomal RNA, 484 nt
Filed under: uncultured bacterium
Lineage: Bacteria
Description: partial 16S ribosomal RNA
Rfam family: Bacterial small subunit ribosomal RNA
Source: RNAcentral
AUUGAACGCUGGCGGCAGGCCUAACACAUGCAAGUCGAGCGGAUGAAGGGAGCUUGCUCCUGGAUUCAGCGGCGGACGGGUGAGUAAUGCCUAGGAAUCUGCCUGGUAGUGGGGGAUAACGUCCGGAAACGGGCGCUAAUACCGCAUACGUCCUGAGGGAGAAAGUGGGGGAUCUUCGGACCUCACGCUAUCAGAUGAGCCUAGGUCGGAUUAGCUAGUUGGUGGGGUAAAGGCCUACCAAGGCGACGAUCCGUAACUGGACUGAGAGGAUGAUCAGUCACACUGGAACUGAGACACGGUCCAGACUCCUACGGGAGGCAGCAGUGGGGAAUAUUGGACAAUGGGCGAAAGCCUGAUGCAGCCAUGCCGCGUGUGUGAAGAAGGUCUUCGGAUUGUAAAGCACUUUAAGUUGGGAGGAAGGGCAGUAAGUUAAUACCUUGCUGUUUUGACGUUACCAACAGAAUAAGCACCGGCUAACUUCGUG